RNAcentral lists this ribosomal RNA (352 nucleotides) under uncultured bacterium. Its description in RNAcentral is "bacterial SSU rRNA". It matches the Rfam family "Bacterial small subunit ribosomal RNA", at positions 917 to 1267 of the family's 1533-position model. The record is from RNAcentral.
GGGCCCGCACAAGCGGUGGAGCAUGUGGUUUAAUUCGAUGAUACGCGAGGAACCUUACCAGGGCUUAAAUGUAGUCUGACAGGGGUGGAAACACCCCCUCCUUCGGGCAGAUUACAAGGUGCUGCAUGGUUGUCGUCAGCUCGUGCCGUGAGUGUCAGGUUAAGUCCUAUAACGAGCGCAACCCCUGCCGUUAGUUGCCAGCAUGUAAUGAUGGGAACUCUAACGGUACUGCCGGUGCAAAACCGCGAGGAAGGUGGGGGAUGACGUCAAAUCAUCACGGCCCUUACGGUCCCUGGGCUACACACGUGCUACAAUGGCCGGUACAGAGGGGCAGCCACACCGCAAGGUGGAG